This 107-nucleotide small nucleolar RNA is filed under the name Scleroderma citrinum Foug A. Lineage: Eukaryota; Fungi; Basidiomycota; Agaricomycetes; Boletales; Sclerodermataceae. The record is from RNAcentral.
CCUUGAUGAAUCCUAGAUGACGAGUCCGAAUACUCUGGUACGAGGUUUCCUUGUACCAGCGUCGAUGACGAGUCCCACUUAUUUUACCAUUCAUGCUUUGUCUGAUU